ACGCUGGCGGCACGCCUAACACAUGCAAGUCGAACGAAGUAGCAAUACUUAGUGGCAGACGGGUGAGUAACAUGUAGGUAUCUGCCCUUUGGCCUGGAAUAACACGAGGAAACUUGUGCUAAUACCGGAUAAGUCUUUACGGAGAAAGCUUUAUGCACCAUUGGAUGAGCCUGCACUUGAUUAGUUUGCUGGUGGGGUAAUGGCCUACCAAGACUGUGAUCAAUAGCUGAUUUGAGAGGAUGAUCAGCCACAUUGGGACUGAGACACGGCCCAAACUCCUACGGGAGGCAGCAGUGGGGAAUCUUGCACAAUGGAGGAAACUCUGAUGCAGCGAUGCCGCGUGAGUGAAGAAGGCCUUUGGGUUGUAAAGCUCUUUCGUCGGGGAAGAAAAUGACUGUACCCGAAUAAGAAGGUCCGGCUAACUUCGUGCCAGCAGCCGCGGUAAUACGAAGGGACCUAGCGUAGUUCGGAAUUACUGGGCUUAAAGAGUUCGUAGGUGGUUGAAAAAGUUGGUGGUGAAAUCCCAGAGCUUAACUCUGGAACUGCCAUCAAAACUUUUCAGCUAGAGUAUGAUAGAGGAAAGCAGAAUUUCUAGUGUAGAGGUGAAAUUCGUAGAUAUUAGAAAGAAUACCAAUUGCGAAGGCAGCUUUCUGGAUCAUUACUGACACUGAGGAACGAAAGCAUGGGUAGCGAAGAGGAUUAGAUACCCUCGUAGUCCAUGCCGUAAACGAUGUGUGUUAGACGUUGGAAAUUUAUUUUCAGUGUCGCAGCGAAAGCGAUAAACACACCGCCUGGGGAGUACGACCGCAAGGUUAAAACUCAAAUGAAUUGACGGGGACCCGCACAAGUAGUGGAGCAUGUGGUUUAAUUCGAAGAUACGCGCAGAACCUUACCAACACUUGACAUGUUCGUCGCGACUCUAAGAGAUUAGAGUUUUCGGUUCGGCCGGACGAAACACAGGUGCUGCAUGGCUGUCGUCAGCUCGUGUCGUGAGAUGUUGGGUUAAGUCCCGCAACGAGCGCAACCCUCACUUUUAGUUGCCAUCAUUAAGUUGGGCACUCUGAAAGAACUGCCAGUGAUAAGCUGGAGGAAGGUGGGGAUGACGUCAAGUCCUCAUGGCCCUUACGUGUUGGGCUACACACGUGCUACAAUGGUAUCUACAACAGGAAGCAAGACUGCGAGGUCAAGCAAAUCCUUAAAAGAUACCUCAGUUCGGAUUGCACUCUGCAACUCGAGUGCAUGAAGCUGGAAUUACUAGUAAUCGUGGAUCAGCGUGCCACGGUGAAUGCGUUCCCGGGUCUUGUACACACCGCCCGUCACACCAUGGGAGUUGGUUCUACCUUAAGGCAAGGUUUAAUACCCUUGACCACGGUAUAGUCAGCGACUGGGGUGAAGUCGUAACAAGGUAGCCGUAGGGGAACCUGCGGCUGGAUUACCUCCUUUCU
Molecule: ribosomal RNA, 1445 nt
Filed under: uncultured marine bacterium
Lineage: Bacteria
Description: 16S ribosomal RNA
Rfam family: Bacterial small subunit ribosomal RNA
Source: RNAcentral